GACGAACGCUGGCGGCGUGCUUAACACAUGCAAGUCGAACGGUAAGGCCCUUCGGGUACACGAGUGGCGAACGGGUGAGUAACACGUGGGUGAUCUGCCCUGCACUUCGGGAUAAGCCUGGGAAACUGGGUCUAAUACCGGAUAGGACCAUGGACUUCACGGUUUGUGGUGGAAAGCUUUUGCGGUGUGGGAUGGGCCCGCGGCCUAUCAGCUUGUUGGUGGGGUAAUGGCCUACCAAGGCGACGACGGGUAGCCGGCCUGAGAGGGUGUCCGGCCACACUGGGACUGAGAUACGGCCCAGACUCCUACGGGAGGCAGCAGUGGGGAAUAUUGCACAAUGGGCGCAAGCCUGAUGCAGCGACGCCGCGUUGAGGGAUGACGGCC
This 384-nucleotide ribosomal RNA is filed under the name uncultured bacterium. Its description in RNAcentral is "bacterial SSU rRNA". It matches the Rfam family "Bacterial small subunit ribosomal RNA", at positions 28 to 416 of the family's 1533-position model. The record is from RNAcentral.